GAGUACCUACGGGACGCAGCAGUGGGGAAUAUUGCGAAAUGGGCGAAAGCCUGACGCAGCGACGCCGCGUGAAGGAUGAAGGUCUUCGGAUCGUAAACCUCUGUCAGCAGGGAAGAACGGUCACUGUGCUAAUCAGCAGUGAAUUGACGGUACCUGCAAAGGAAGCACCGGCUAACUCCGUGCCAGCAGCCGCGGUAAUACGGAGGGUGCGAGCGUUAAUCGGAAUUACUGGGCGUAAUGCGCUCGUAGGCGGUAUGUCAAGUC
Molecule: ribosomal RNA, 264 nt
Filed under: uncultured bacterium
Lineage: Bacteria
Description: partial 16S ribosomal RNA
Rfam family: Bacterial small subunit ribosomal RNA
Source: RNAcentral